Molecule: non-coding RNA, 72 nt
Organism: Aedes albopictus (Asian tiger mosquito)
Lineage: Eukaryota; Metazoa; Arthropoda; Insecta; Diptera; Culicidae
Source: Rfam
GGCUCGGUAGCUUAGUCGGUAAAGCACUUGUGUAGCAUAUAAGGGUCGUGAGUUAAAAUCUCACUUGAGCUG